This 1243-nucleotide long non-coding RNA is filed under the name Fukomys damarensis (Damara mole-rat). RNAcentral's name for it is "lncRNA (ENSFDAG00000026338.1)". The record is from RNAcentral. Lineage: Eukaryota; Metazoa; Chordata; Mammalia; Rodentia; Bathyergidae.
GGAGAGGCGUGUCUGCUGGACAGCUAUGUGAUCCAACAGUCACUAUGAAGAGAUCAUAGGACAGAAUGAUCAAAUGAACGUUCACACACUACUGACAGCAUGGAAAUAUAUCACUUCCCUUGCAUAGCUCUUUCUUCAAGCGCUGUUCAAAGUGCUUCUUCAAUAUAGCAAAAUCUCACUCGCCAUGAGUGAAAAGAUAAAUGUUUCCAUGUGGAUCCAAUUCUGGUGGUCAUUCGGUUGCGGUGAUCAACAAUGUAUUCUCACUGGGAUUCCUGCAUCUGCUCUGUGUAGAAGGUGAUGACUCGGCACUCAGAUCAGAUUAGUUGUGAUGCCUCCAUCUCUGAUGCUCAAAGAUAAGAAAGAAAGAAAGAUGCGUCUGGUGUCACUUGGUAAACGGCAGGUUGGAGACCAUCAGACAAUUGGUUGCAACAAGCCAAGGUCAUAUGCAAGCAAACGCAGUUAUCUGAAACUACAAAAUACUGCCCUCAGCAAAUAACCUUAAGAACUGGACAAAUAUUUAGAUUUGACUGCAUCUGCUGAAAAUCUGUCUGAAAUGCCUCUGAUAAACUGAACAACACUAAAGGAACACUUGGACUAAGUAACUUGAAAAGGAAUUAUUCAUAUUUACUAAUGAAUUGCAUAAAUCGAAGCCACAUUUGCCUGAAUGGAGAAGUUACCUCUGGGGGUAAAUUCUCCCAAGCCAUCUUGUCUACUUGAUUACAUGGGAAAGCCUCUAUUCAUCCUAUUUAUUUUCUUUAAAUGCAUACUGAUAGGCAUUGUCUUAUUUGAGUACUUUCCUCAUUGUCUCUUUUCUUUCUAGAAUAUGAGGUCCCAGAGGGAGGGCAGGACUUUGCCUAGUUAUUUAGUGAGAUGCCAUGUAUGUUUCAGCUUGUACUUUCCCUAGAAAAUCCAUAGUCUUCCUUUGUCAAUGUAUUUCUAAGGUAGCAGAUGCCCCCAGCUCUUUUUUCCAUAUAUAUUAUUUAUCUUACAAUAUUUAAUAAUUGGCAAUGAUUACAUAUACUCAAGGUUAAGUGUAUAGUGUGCUGUUUUGAUAAACGUGUACAUACCCAGGGUAACGAUUGAUACAAUAAAAUUAAUUAUCACACCCACCACCACCCAUGCUGGUUCAUUUUGUAAUUGAAAGUUUGUAAACUUUGACCAACAUCUCCUCUUCACUCUACCCUCCUUUUAUGCCCACCACUAAUCCCCUAAUUCUCUUAAGUUUGACAAUUUUAAAUUCCAC